This 319-nucleotide small nuclear RNA is filed under the name Jaculus jaculus (lesser Egyptian jerboa). RNAcentral's name for it is "7SK RNA (ENSJJAG00000000792.1)". It matches the Rfam family "7SK RNA". Rfam says of the family: 7SK was discovered as an abundant small nuclear RNA in the mid-70s but a possible function has only recently been suggested. Two independent studies have found that 7SK RNA binds the CDK9/cyclin T complex (known as elongation factor P-TEFb). P-TEFb activates transcription by phosphorylating the C-terminal domain of RNA polymerase II. Lineage: Eukaryota; Metazoa; Chordata; Mammalia; Rodentia; Dipodidae. The record is from Rfam by way of RNAcentral.
CAAUGUGAGAGUGAUGUGGGUGUGAACUGUGUCACCCUGUUGACCUCCAUGGUUGACUGUGCUAUCUGGCCGGCUAGACAGGUGUCUUCCUCCUCCCAUGCCGCUCCUAGUGCUCCUAGUGCUCCUGAGGCUGUGCUUGGGUUGAACUGGGAUGACCUGCCCUGUUUGAGGAGAUCUCGUCUAAAGGAAUGCACAAGAAGCAGUUCUAGUCCACCAGAAUCUCCUCAUGAGCUCUUGAUUAGAAACCCAUAAUGGUUCUUAAUAGAUUUUGUCCAUUUUCUUUCAUUUAUUGUGUGCCAAUGGCAGAGAUAAUAAGAAA